This is a long non-coding RNA of Danio rerio (zebrafish), 8354 nucleotides long. The record is from Ensembl. NCBI's taxonomy places the organism in Eukaryota, Metazoa, Chordata, Actinopteri, Cypriniformes, Danionidae.
AGUAACCGAACAUAUAUACAGCAUGGUCAUUCCUCUCCUCCGUCUCCCCUCAUCGGUGAACUUGGGUUGUGGCUAUCUGGGUACACAAUGUACGACCAUGCUUUUGAUGUAAAACAACUGCGCAAGAGACGGAUAGAAACAGGGGGGCGAAGAGAAGAAGGGGGGACGUGUGUAUCGUGUGGUGUUGCACAAUAUUCAUCUUCAUGGGUCCUUCGCUUCGCGCAAUGGACACGCAACAUCCCUCCAUUUAUCGUUUCAGCUCGUUGCGCACACUUGUAAAUUAGCUGCUCUUUUUCUUGCGAUACGACCUCUUCGCAGCUUCGGCCCCUUCCACAGUAACUAUUUCAAGUUAAAUGAGAUGACAGAAGAGUAUUAAUAAGACUGAAAAACACAACAUUUCCUUUUCUCAUAAACUGAAAACUACUGACAAUACUUUGAUAAUAGUCAAAGUAAUUCUCUCAUUCACAACUACUACUCUGAAAGUUCAGAUGGAUAAGAAAAAGAAAAAGACAACACCUGCCCCAAGACUAGAGAAAGAAGACUUGACAGAUGACAGGAAAAGAACAAGACAAUCCAAAAGGGCUGAACCAGAAGCAUCCUCAAAGACUAAUAACAGUGAGUUUAUGCAGCAGCUGAAUAGGUCAGAGGAGUUAACAGAUACAAAGUGCGAUCAGUCCGAUGGAAAUGUAAGAUUGAAAAUAGGAGUUGGAGCCAAACGGACAAAAAAGCCCCCAAAAAGUCUUGAGAACUUCAUAUGCAGGCCCACAAUCAGGAUCUCUCAGAGGCUUUCCCAUGGAGAUGGCCAUAGUUCAAGUGUGGGUGAAGUCUCAGAUUCUGACUCCAGAUUGGCCAAGAAGUCACAUCGAGAUGUUCAGAAAAAAGAUUGCCUUUCUACAAAAGGUUCCAAAAAAGUCCUUCCCACUUCCAAAAAAGGGGACUCUACACCAGCCAUUGCUGCAUCUAAAAAGGCUCCAUCAAAAAACACAAGGAAGACCGAGUCAAAGUCAUUAUUAACAUCAGAUGGCCCUUCAUUAGCAGUUCAACCACAGACAGAUAGCAAAGUACCACUUUCAGAUAAAAUAACCUCCUCCACCUUUUUGAAGCAGACGCAUUCCCCUCCAGCUGCACCUUCGCCGCCUUCCUCAUUACAACAAAACUCCAGUCUACAAGACAGCACACAAGUUUUAAAUGCUCAAAAAGAAAAGAGUGAUGAUCUCCCGACUGAGGAAGCAAUGACCUCCUCCCCUAGUUCAGAUAGCUCAAAGAAUAUGACACAGAACACUCAGAUAUCUCAGCAGUCUUCUUCCAGCCUUGAAACUCACCAUGAAAGCAAGUCAUCUCCAAAAAGAUGUAGUGAGAAUUCUCUAAGGCAAACUCUCCGUCCUCCAAAAAAGACUUCUAGAACACGGGAGACAAAUGUUGACAGGGUUUUGAUUGCAAAUGAGAAAGAGGAUGGUGAUUAUGCAUCUUCCAAAAACAUGUCUAGCAACAAUACUAACAAUAGGAGUAGAGAAAAUGGUUUACUGCAUCAGCCUAGUCCCUCUGUCAAUGCACCAUUGCUUCCUCCUGCCACAGAUAAAUCUGCAGAAUCAGCAACUUCUGAGAACAGCACUAGUGUACCAGAGUUACCGGAGAACAGAGAAAGGUGCAAGAAGCACAGUGGAAGUGAAGUCAUAGAUGACUCCCAAAAAGUGACUAUGGAACCGGCUCAAACUGUUGCUGUGCAGUCAAAAGAUGUCAGCAGAGAGGGGCAUGUCAUUGAAAAGAAAAAGAAAAGAACUAGGCGUAGUUCAAAUCAGGAAGAAAAUGUGAAAUGUUCCCCUCGAACUCCCAGCUGUGCAGAUUCUCAGUUUAACAGUUCUGCUCAAAGUGAAGAGCCACCCUUACACCCCAAACAAGACACCAUUUCACAAAGGACACAAAAAUCUGUUCAGAUUUCAAAUAUAGUAAAUCAGGGGGAGAAUAUGGAUUUGGGAGCUUCUAAUGUUAAUCCCACUGCCUGUAAAAUUAUACCUCAAAAAUCAAAAGGUAAAAGAGAUCUUUCCAUGAAGUCCUUGAAGAAAUUGCCAUCAAAGCAGGGUAAACAAGACCCAGUCAGACAACCUCUUAAAUCAAAAGAACUACAAAAAACAUCCCCAAGAUCAGAAAGCGCGUUCAUUGAGGUCCCUACUAAGAGAAGGGGUCGACCAAAAAUAACUAGGAUGGAUGAGUCUCCUCAGGGAAGUAAGUCUCAGCAGUCUUCUACUAAGUUCUCUAUACUUGAGCACUCAAAUGUCCCUAGGCCAGAAGAUGGCUUGAAACUCCCAAAUCCAACACCCAAAAUACAAAGCCAUCCAAAAUGUUCCCUGUCUGCUCAGACUAAAAAAUCUAAAUCACUACACUUAGCAUCAGGAAAGACAGGUGCUGAAGGAAAACUCAAACCUUCAGUGUCCAGAGCUAGAGAUGCACAAAUCUGCCGCAAACGAAAUAGGUUAAUAAUGAGGUCAAUUAUCAAAAAUAUCAACAAAAUGAGAGUGAAGAGGAAAGAUAAAGUACUCACGCAGUUUCUAUCAGGGCAAAGCCAAACUUGCACAACUGAUUUGGCUCAAAAAGACAAUAAAGGGGAUGCCGAAUGUUCAGUGUCCGAAAGUGCACAAUCUUUAUCCUCACUUGUUACAUCUUUUGGGGGGAAACUUGGUCCUCAAAUUAACGUCAGCAAACGUGGGACAAUCUACAUAGGAAAAAGAAGAGGUCGUAAACCUAAAGCUCAAAGGGAAACUUUUGGCCAAGACUCGGACCAAGUUCAGAGUCCAAAGACUCCGCAAGUCUCAACAGAAUCUUCAAAUCAGUUAAAUUGGUCCACCUCUGGUGAACAGAGUCAUUCAUUUGAUGGCCAAACUGCUUUGCACAACUCCCCCUAUUCAUUUAAACAACUCAAACCCUCUUCUUCUAGUAUUAGUUCUUUCCGGAGAAAACUUUAUCCUGGCAACCGUAAAUAUGAUCAACAUUCUUCUCCAAAGGUAACAAAUUCCCAAAAGUUUAAAGCAUUGCCUGAAGAGAAAUCUAAACAUCCCACCUCUUCACAGCCAGCACCUUGCCCUUCAGCCACAUCACAGUUAGGUUCUGUAAGGAUUCAAAAUCACAGAGCAACACACCUUGCACGAUCAGUCCUGAUGGAGCAAGAAAGGCUCAAAUACAAGUGUCAUAGAAAAGGACAUAAUUGCUUUAGCCACGAUAAGAUUAGGAGACAUAAACACAAAUGCAAGAAAAAGUAUCUUCAACUCAGGGCCAAACGGCAAGACCCAGCAUUUCUGGCAGAGGUUGAGGAGUUAGUGGUCAGGCUUAGUGAAAUUCAUAUUGUGCAUCAUCUUUCAUCUCGGGGUUGUGGGGAUGAAGCAAAAUCAGGAAGAAAGAGUGGGAAGGGCAAAGCUCACCCUCACGUUCUAAAGUGUCUGCCGCAAAACCUUCACCAUCCAACUAUGUUUCAAAUCAACUUCAGUGGUUACUACUCUCCUCAGUCAGAAUUUUCUCGUGACUCUCUGCAUUAUGUUGGCUUGGCAGAUUUUAAAAGGAACAAUGGCUGCCCCUCACAACCAGGUGAACAUAUUGUCACUCAUUGUCCAGUAGUACAUAAACUUGGCUUCCCACUGUCAGCAGGUGGUUGUUACCACUCGCCCUACAAAAUGCCUCUUCCUACCACUUCGUUUGGUUUUGGACUCUAUAGAGGAUACCCUCCAUCUGCAACUAUUUACCCCUCAUCACCAUUUUUACCCUCAUAUGUACAUCCCUACUCCAAAAAUCCAAUUUUAAGCCCAUCAAAGUUCCAUAAAAGGAAGCACAAAUUUCUAAGGCGUGAAUCUGAAGUUUGUCAUGGGAAGCCACAUGGGACUUACACUAAUCUAACAUCUCAUUCCUCUAGUGACUGGUUCAGUAGAAAUAGCUGGCAAAGAGAAGAUGACAGAGAGCAAGGUAGAGAUAAAAGAUUUGUGGAUGAUAGGUUUAGAGAAAGAGAAGGACUAGGCGGUUUGCUUGGACGAAGUAACCCUAGAAAAGACCAUUUCAGAAGGGGACUAGGUCUGUCAACAGAUUACCAAUGCUCUACCUCAGCACCCUCAAAACAAGCUGACAAACACAAAACUUCACCGCUUUCAUAUAUCGGACCUGCGCACCUAAGACCAAUUUCAAAAGUGAGGUGGGCAGAGCAUCGGCAGCCAUGGAGGUGGAGAGAGAGUGUUCAGGUAGAGUCGAAGAACAGAGGCUCAAUCCAGGAAGGUGGAACAGGAUACCAGGAGGAUGAGGAUGAAAUUGAUGAAGAUCAACCAUCACCCCCGCCAGUUGACAGAAGCAUCCAACAUCACACUUUCCUGAGGAACAGCAAUCUUGCUAGCACUUCAUUUAGUCAAAUGACAGCCCAAAGGAGUGUUGGUGAAGUUCAGUGUGCUGCUAGAAACUUAAUGACAGCUGGAAGCUUGUUGAUGGAGUCUUGCUCAACUGGAGUAAAACGAACAUCAGAGAGCUUCAAGCCCGGAGGUUCACUCUUCAGUGAGCACUAUUCCAACGCAAGUCUUUCUUUUAAUGAAGGCCAAGAAAGGGGAGCACGGGAGAAAAGACCCGGCAUCAGCAAAACACACUUUCAGACCAACGAUAUCAGGCUUUUUUCCUCUUGUUCUGCCACCAAAAACAGCCUUUCUUGUUUCGGUAUUUCUAAAGACUCAACACCAGAGAAGGAGAAACUGAAACAUGUCUCGAAUCCUCUCAGGAAAAAGAGUCCCAAAGGUCAAGCGGUCACAGGAGGUGAGGUGAAGAGAAGGGGAAGAGGGCGACCACGAAAAAACCCUGCACCGUGCUUUUCUCCACCACCACCACCACCAGUACUUGUAGAUCAAGAAGUGACAGAGUUUCCUGCAAAACGGAAAAAAGAUGAAAGAGGUGAUUAUGCAGAGCUCAAUGCAACUGAGUACAUGGCUCAACACGAGAAACGAAAAAGAAAGAGAAAAAGAGAUGAUUCUUGGUGCAGCGAAGGGCAAUUAGACGAAGACGUAGCUCUGAGUCACAAGCCUUCACAAACACACAGCGACACAUUCUUCCCUUCCCAAGAUCCAAUCAGCCAAUCAGAGAGCAGAUCCGCCAAGGCUUCUGAAAAGAAAUAUGAGUGGGCGGGGCUUUACUCGGAUGUGUAUAAAAGCGAUAACCCCAAGAGUCUGUCCUCUCCAGUACACACAGACUGCCUUGAGUAUGAUCCUGAAGAGCAUGAGCACGGCCUGCUUCCUGCACCUUUACACGUAGGAAAGUAUCUGAGGCUGAAGCGGAUUGACUUUCAAUUGCCCUAUGAGAUUUAUCGGCACUGUGCACAUAAAAAGCAUUCUAAAAAGUCAAAGACCCCACAAAAGAUGCCCCCAUCCAAUGAGCCUGUCGAUGUAAUGUCUCACACUCAGACUGAAGAGAGUUGCUGUAAACCUCAUGACUGCAUUUCUGACAGCACUAACAAAAAUGACACAGACCAACAAACAACACCUACAGAAGAGCUUGGAGAAGAAGUAACUGGAACAGACAUUAACAACACACCUCCCAAUCAGUCCGAUCCUCCCAAACAGCAGGAGAAAGGCAGUGAUGCUGAAAAUAUCCCCUCCCCCCUCCUGAUGAUGCCCUUGUCUUGUGAGGAGAGGAGCUUCGUCUUGGAACACGGCGUUUUUCUGGUGAGAAACUAUGAGAAAAUGAGAGACAGACAGGGAUUUCUCCUGAGGGAGGAGAUGGUGGAGCGAGAGAACGGAAGCAGAGGAGAUGGAGAGAGACAGAAAGAGGAUCUUGAAGACACCAGCUCCAAGUCAGACCAGCGCCUGUCUCAGUGGAACCUUUGGUCUGGAAGCAGAGAGCGAGGCGAGGAGAGGUGCAGUGAACAGAGCCCAAACCUCAUGCAAACACUCCAGGGGAUAUAUGACGUCAUCGUCAGUCACAAGGGGUCAUCUGGACAAACCCUCGCCGCUCCCCUGCUGAACCUGUGCUCCAGAAAGAGAUCAGGCUCGGCUCCUGUUGAUCUCACUAUGUUGCAGAAGCAGCUGCACUCAGGCCACUAUGAGAGUCUGGAAACCUUUCAUUCAGACAUGCUGAAGGUGUUCCACUGCGCCGAGAAAUACUAUGGCUGUGAGUCGUCGGUGGGUCGAAAUGUGGGGCAGUUGAGGGAAGUGUAUCACGCUGCUCAUCAGGAGGCCUUCACUCGAUUCAGACACUUCCUGUGAGUGACAGAAAAGCACACCAGCGACCUCUAUCAGGACGCUGCUGUUACCAAACCCAGAGGCAUGAUGGGCCUUCCAGAAGGCAGAUGAUGCUCUCCGAUACCAAAGACCUGCUGUAUGUUGCACUCACAGUCGCACUGCACAGGUUAAGAGACAGCACUCCUGGAAAUGCCAUUUGUGAGCAUGAAGCACGGCUGAUGUUUGACAAUGUGAUUAAGUUGAAAGCACCUCGGCCUUUCUUUCUCUCAGGGAAAUUCGAGCGAAGAAACUGGAGACAUGAACAACAAAUCAACAUCUGAGACCAUCAUACACCCCAACAACAUGCAAUUCUUUCCAUUUCAGAUAGUAUCACCAUAGACUGGACAUAAGCAUGUUGGAUGGGAUGCAGGAAACCUUGCAAAGAGACGUGUGCUGCUGUUUUGGGUCUAAGCGACGAACAUGUGCAGACUGUUUUCAAUCAUUUAACAUCUCCAUUAGCAUACAGUACCUACAAGAAAAUGAACUUCACUGAAUGGACAGUUGUUUUUAUACAGUGUGAACAGAAUUGUGGUCUACAGCGUUCUUUUUUAUGUAUAGAAACCUCUUUCAGGGUAAUAAGAUAAUUGCGACUUUUUUCAUGCAGUUUGAGUUUAUAUCUCUGAAGGCAAAUUUUCUCAGAAUUCAAAAACUUUGUGGAAAAAAUAUCAAGAAAAUCAUCUCAGAAAUGGUGAUGAUGUGGGGGGGGAUAAGUCAGAAUUGACAUGCAGUUUGUUACAAAGUCACCUUUAUUUUUGUAUCUAAAAAUUUUAAUGUUUUUAUUUCUGAAUUUCUAAAAGUUUAAGAUGCGACAUGCAAAUUUGGAUUUGUAAGAGAAAAAAAAGUCAAAAUACUUGCUUAUUUUUUUAAGAAUUGCAAAAACAACAGAAAUUUUAGCUAAAUACAAAUGCGAUCCUGAGAGAAAACUCCAAAUUGUGAGUUGCAAACUCAAAUUCGCACUAGCAUCAAGUGAAGUUUCACAAACUAAUUUCGAGAGGAGCACGUGAUAUGAUUGACUGCAGCUGGUCUCUCAUUUACAAUCACUAGCUAGCCAAUCAGAUUAAUCCAAACUCACUAUAAUAGCCCAGCUAAAAAAAUACUCCCUUGUCUUCGUUUUCAGAAGAAACCCCCCUGUAAACCCCCCCAUCCACCCCAUCUUCUCCUUUUCUUCCUUUACCAUGGGGAGCUCUCGAGAACUACCUGAUCUCGUACUCCCCUUACAUGCUCAGUCAACCAGGCAGGAGCCCUGGGCUCAAUUAUCUCUGAGCUCAGGGUUCUCUCCCAGGACAACAUGCAAACCUUCAAUCAUUGAUCAAACAAUAUCUAAGUGUGAACUCUUGAAAUGAAUAAAGGAGGAGUUUGAUAUUUUUUUAAUUGUGUCCUUGAAACCAGCUUUCCUGAUUAAGUGUUUUGUGCUGAGGGUCGUAACAAUAAUAUAAGCAAUAAUGCAUGAAUGGUUUAAUAACGCAGCCUUAAUGUAAGCAAGGAUGUUUAUUUGAAAGGGAAUUUAUUAGCACUUUGUGCAGAGCUGUCUUGUGUUAGUUAUGUUUUUACUGGAGCAGUAAUCUUUAUAGCUUUGAGACUCACAGAAAUGUUUUAUAUUGAUGUAUUUUGUAAAUAAUGUAUAUUUGGAAAAUGAUGUUUUAGUAUGGUUUAAAAAACUCUAUUUAGUCUUAAAUUGAUGUGGGUAAUUCAUGUUUUUCAUGUCUUUAAUAAUAUUUUUAUGAACAGUUUUAAGGUGACUACUGUAGAUGCAUGCGUGAUUUUAAACAGGACAUUUAUUGUUUGUAAAACAUCAGAUUUUUUGUGCAUGGCAUACUUUAUAUUGCUUUAUUGUGUUUAAUAGCUGUGUAUACUGCACACACACACAAUGUAUGCAACACAUUAUAUGUCUAUGCUGAACUAAGAAACUGGUUGUUGGAAGCUCAUUAAACAGUUUAAAGCAGAACAGAGGAAUUAAAGCAGCUACAGUUAACCUGCUAAACUUUUUUUAUUUGCAAAAAAAAAUGUUGACAUGUUUGUAUCGGUAUUUGUAUGCAAUACAGAAUAUGAAUUACAUUGUCAAUGAAAAAAAAUACAAAAUACAAAUAUUAAAGAACAUGAAAUAAACUUGUAAUGUAAUGUGUA